Molecule: long non-coding RNA, 141 nt
Organism: Erigeron canadensis
Lineage: Eukaryota; Viridiplantae; Streptophyta; Magnoliopsida; Asterales; Asteraceae
Exons: 3
Source: RefSeq, a predicted model, not a curated record
GUCAAAUCCGGAAUUUAGCUUUUGUGGAAGAUUUUUGUAAGGUUUGUGAUCGUUGUGCUCCCCGCUCACCCGCUUAAGCUCAUUCUAACAACUUCUAAAGCUAAGGUAAUCAAGUGAAUCAAAGACGUGAUGGAUGAUUGC